Molecule: ribosomal RNA, 477 nt
Filed under: uncultured bacterium
Lineage: Bacteria
Description: bacterial SSU rRNA
Rfam family: Bacterial small subunit ribosomal RNA
Source: RNAcentral
GACGAACGCUGGCGGCGUGCCUAACACAUGCAAGUCAACUUGACUGAAGGAGCAAUCUGACAGUAGAGUGGCGCAAGGGUGCGUAACGCGUAAGUAACUUGCCCCAAGGUAAGGAAUAACGUCGAGAAAUCGGCGCUAAUACCUCAUAAUGCAGCGGAUCCGCAUGGAUAUGUUGUUAAAGGUUUACCGCCUUGGGAUAGGCUUGCGUCUGAUUAGCUAGUUGGUGUGGUAACGGCACACCAAGGCUACGAUCAGUAACUGGUCUGAGAGGAUGAUCAGUCACACUGGAACUGAGACACGGUCCAGACUCCUACGGGAGGCAGCAGUGAGGAAUAUUGGGCAAUGCUCGAAAGAGUGACCCAGCAACGCCGCGUGGAGGAUGAAGGUAUUCUAUAUCGUAAACUCCUGUGAGAGCAGACGAAAGACAGAUUAUAAUCUGGAUGACUGUAUGCUCAGAGGAAGCCCCGGCUAACUACG